AACGAACGCUGGCGGCAUGCCUAACACAUGCAAGUCGAACGAGACCUUCGGGUCUAGUGGCGCACGGGUGCGUAACGCGUGGGAAUCUGCCCUUGGGUUCGGAAUAACAGUUGGAAACGACUGCUAAUACCGGAUGAUGACGUAAGUCCAAAGAUUUAUCGCCCAAGGAUGAGCCCGCGUAGGAUUAGCUAGUUGGUGAGGUAAAGGCUCACCAAGGCGACGAUCCUUAGCUGGUCUGAGAGGAUGAUCAGCCACACUGGGACUGAGACACGGCCCAGACUCCUACGGGAGGCAGCAGUGGGGAAUAUUGGACAAUGGGCGAAAGCCUGAUCCAGCAAUGCCGCGUGAGUGAUGAAGGCCUUAGGGUUGUAAAGCCCUUUUACCCGGGAUGAUAAUGACAGUACCGGGAGAAUAAGCUCCGGCUAACUCCGUG
RNAcentral lists this ribosomal RNA (433 nucleotides) under uncultured bacterium. Its description in RNAcentral is "partial 16S ribosomal RNA". It matches the Rfam family "Bacterial small subunit ribosomal RNA", at positions 29 to 507 of the family's 1533-position model. The record is from RNAcentral.